UACGCAGGGGGCAAGCGUUGUCCGGAAUCAUUGGGCGUAAAGCGCGUGUAGGCGGCCCGGUAAGUCCGCUGUGAAAGUCGGGGGCUCAACCCUCGGAUGCCGGUGGAUACUGUCGGGCUAGAGUGCGGGAGAGGCGAGUGGAAUUCCUGGUGUAGCGGUGGAAUGCGCAGAUAUCAGGAAGAACACCCGUGGCGAAGGCGGCUCUCUGGAACGCAACUGACGCUGAGACGCGAAAGCGUGGGGAGCAAACAGG
RNAcentral lists this ribosomal RNA (253 nucleotides) under uncultured bacterium. RNAcentral describes it as "partial 16S ribosomal RNA". It matches the Rfam family "Bacterial small subunit ribosomal RNA", at positions 524 to 776 of the family's 1533-position model. The record is from RNAcentral.